CCGGGAUUGAUUCGAAAGAAUUAUCUCCAUUGACCCUAUGUUUACAACAUAUGUCUACUUCGGCGAGACGUUUUUUGGAAGUUUCCAAAAACCAUUGACUUGUAAAAGAGUGAAUGUGUUGCUUGCCGAAGGUUUUUAACUCUAUUACUUUGAAGUCUGAGUAAACAAACAAAUAAAUUA
Molecule: unclassified non-coding RNA, 180 nt
Filed under: uncultured fungus
Lineage: Eukaryota; Fungi
Description: sequence contains ITS1, 5.8S rRNA gene
Source: RNAcentral